Molecule: ribosomal RNA, 493 nt
Filed under: uncultured Davidiellaceae
Lineage: Eukaryota; Fungi; Ascomycota; Dothideomycetes; Cladosporiales; Cladosporiaceae
Description: eukaryotic LSU rRNA
Rfam family: Eukaryotic large subunit ribosomal RNA
Source: RNAcentral
AAACCAACAGGCAUUGCUCUAGUAACGGCGAGUGAAGCAGCAAUAGCUCAAAUUUGAAAUCUGGCGUCUUCGACGUCCGAGUUGUAAUUUGUAGAGGAUGCUUCUGAGUGGCCACCGACCUAAGUUCCUUGGAACAGGACGUCAUAGAGGGUGAGAAUCCCGUAUGCGGUCGGAAAGGCGCUCUAUACGUAGCUCCUUCGACGAGUCGAGUUGUUUGGGAAUGCAGCUCUAAAUGGGAGGUAAAUUUCUUCUAAAGCUAAAUAUUGGCCAGAGACCGAUAGCGCACAAGUAGAGUGAUCGAAAGAUGAAAAGCACUUUGGGAAAGAGGGUUAAAAAGCACGUGAAAUUGUUAAAAGGGAGGGAUUGCAACCAGACUUGCUCGCGGUGUUCCGCCGGUCUUCUGACCGGUCUACUCGCCGCGUUGCAGGCCAGCAUCGUCUGGUGCCGCUGGAUAAGACUUGAGGAAUGUAGCUCCCUCGGGAGUGUAUAGCCU